UCUGAAGUGAAGGAGUGACAUCAGUGUGCACAGAGAUUAAAAAAAGGGUGGAUGGGGUUCUGUUGAAGGCCCUGACCUGGACUUACACUCGGACUUCGGUUCGUUUCGGUGGUGGGACCCGCUCAAGGGGGCUCCCGGAUGGCCACCUUUCGAUAUCCCAAGGACACAGCCGAGAAGAUGAGUGCACCUUCAGGGUUCCGAGGCUUUGUGGCCCCGUGGAUGAGCUGAUUUUAAGCCGCUGCCGCCAAUUGAAGCGUCGCAGGAGAGAACGGAAUAUCGGGAACAGUGGAUCAGCUGUCGGAGGCUCUGUGCUCGGCGAAUUGUGCUCUCUCCCUCACUGGUGUGCGAGAGAUUGUUAGCGACUCUCUGGGCAGAGCACUCAGAAAAAAAGCGGCACGACGGAGUUUCAACAACAUAAAUCAGCAAGUUGUUUGUUGUGUCUUCCCUCUUGCUGAGAAAAGGGUCACCUCUUUUUUCUUUUAUUAAGGAGAGAGAGCCCGUGGCAAGUCAAAUUGCCGGAUAUGCAAACAAAGCAGGAAGCAAUUACAAACAUGGAAGAUGAAGCUGAUAAAACCCUAAACAGUCUACGAAUCACAAACAUCUUUCAGACGCCCCACCACCAUCAAAUCUAAUGAAGUCUACAAAACGAACUUCUCCGUUCAUCACUUUGAUACAAUUGAUGUGGGUGUCUCAACAACCAGAGUCACAAUUACCUUUUUUAAUGUUUUGUCGUUGCUGAUUUUGUUUUCUAUUGUUACGGCAUUGUUUCACCCAUCGCAGAAUGUUAAAAAUAUUAGUGGAUCUCUAAUCCAUUUCAUAGGCUAUUUUUCUUGCCUUUUUAAAAUUUAAAAAUCACCUUUCUAUAUCAAAUUUUUGCUGAGAUAUUUUCUAUUUGAAACAAAGAUAAACGGUUGAAACUCCUCUUUAAAUUAAAAACAUGCAACUGAUCAUGCUGUGCCUGUUUCAGCUUUGAUAAGCACUUUAUAUGCUUCUAGUUUAGUGCUUCUAAAUUCCUAUCUCUGUCUCCCAGGCCUCCGUCUGUUUUGUUAAGAGCUGCUCUGCAUGUUCGCUCUUCAUAUUUAUCCAUUUUCUUUUUGCCAAAAAAAAAGUUAAUUAUUAGCCUCAAGCAUUCCCAAAUCAAAUUUGUUUGCCUGUAAGCAAACAAAUCUCAAAGUGUAGAUCUAGCACCCCAUAUUCGAGUAAAUAA
Molecule: long non-coding RNA, 1207 nt
Organism: Mobula hypostoma (lesser devil ray)
Lineage: Eukaryota; Metazoa; Chordata; Chondrichthyes; Myliobatiformes; Myliobatidae
Exons: 3
Source: RefSeq, a predicted model, not a curated record